AAUCAACGCUGGCGGCGCGCUUAACACAUGCAAGUCGCACGAGAAAGCAGUAGCAAUACUGUGAGUAAAGUGGCGUACGGGUGAGUAACACGUGGAUCAUCUACCUUCUAGUGGGGAAUACCUCCGGGAAACUGGAGACAAUACCGCAUAAGCUCGUAAGAGGAAAGCAGCAAUGCGCUGGAAGAGGAGUCCGCGGCUGAUUAGCUUGUUGGCGGGGUAACGGCCCACCAAGGCGAAGAUCGGUAGCCGGCCUGAGAGGGCACACGGCCACACUGGCACUGAAACACGGGCCAGACUCCUACGGGAGGCAGCAGUGGGGAAUCUUGCACAAUGGAGGAAACUCUGAUGCAGCGACGCCGCGUGAGCGAUGAAGCCCUUCGGGGUGUAAAGCUCCUUCGACGGGAACGAUAAUGACGGUACCCGAAGAAGAAGCUGCGGCUAACUACGUGC
RNAcentral lists this ribosomal RNA (450 nucleotides) under uncultured bacterium. RNAcentral describes it as "bacterial SSU rRNA". It matches the Rfam family "Bacterial small subunit ribosomal RNA", at positions 32 to 508 of the family's 1533-position model. The record is from RNAcentral.